This is a long non-coding RNA of Impatiens glandulifera, 983 nucleotides long. RefSeq lists it as uncharacterized. The transcript is spliced from 5 exons. The record is from RefSeq and is a predicted model, not a curated record. NCBI's taxonomy places the organism in Eukaryota, Viridiplantae, Streptophyta, Magnoliopsida, Ericales, Balsaminaceae.
UCUCUAAGUCCAACACGCACCAGACACUCCUUUCUCUCACCUGGAGGAGGAUUAAACAAAGACAAUAGAGGGAGGAUCGCGAUGCGGCCGAAGAAGAAAUAUAAUAAGAUAAAGGGGAGACGGUGUGGUUCUGAGGGGGAGAGAAUCUUGAGCGAUUUUGGCAAAGGAAAGCUCGAAUAACCUCUUUUUUUGAUGCAUUAGAGGUAGAUCCCCUUUGUUAUCUCUAGGGAUCAGCAAGAUUGUCUCCUUUGUGAACCUGAUCCUGUGAAUGUAGAAAUUUCUUGAUCCCCUACAGUAAAAGCCAUUCUCCAGUGGGGUGUCAACAUUGGGAUGGACUUUGAAGGAAUUAGAAAAGCUACUUCCAUCCUCCACGCAUUUACAUUCAACUCGGAGAAGAAACGCGUAGGUGUUGCAUUGAAGCUGGAUGGUUUCCUAGCAAGUUCAGUACCACCAUGUUCUACCAGCUUUAGCUUAAGCAAUGGAUGAUUUCCAGAACCCUCGUGUACAGGCACAUGUUGCCUCAGCACUGCUCAAUUGCAGUUAGAAUUGUACCCCGGACAUUUUGACACCAUAUUUGGACGGGUUGGUCAGCAAACUGCUCCUAUACCUAUGCGCAUCGUUACGCCUAUGCUCAACCUCUACUCUGAACCCUAAUUCUCCUCCGAUGGAUCCUCAGGUGACUCAAAUCCAUGAAAUACUUCCCUCACAAGCCCCACCACCUCUAUAAUCUCUUGCACACUUUCUCUCUAGAUCUCUCCAAGUUCCACAUGCAAAUCAAUGGUCGCCAUUUCCAUUCCUUCUACUUCUCUCCUCCUUUUCGCGGCCUUUUCCUCUCUAUAACGAUGCGCAUAGGCAUAGGAGCACCCCAAGGCUACAAUCGCCUCGCGCCGAUUAUCGCUGUUGCUGCGGCAGUCUGCAAACGACUCUAAUUUCACAACUCCAUUUCAGCAGUGCUUCCUUGUUUGACUAAUUCCUCUACGGUA